AUAAAUUCAGUAGCGGAACUAUUUGUGAACCCAAAUUAUACAAUCCCCUUGAUUGGGUGUCUCAGACCACUAGCUCGAAAGAUCAUAGAUGAAGCUGUGUCUUUGUUAGGCCAGUGCAAUCUGAAUUCCAACCUGGAUGGCACUGUGGUGGAUCCAAGAGAGCUUGUUAAUGGAGAAGAUGCUUAUUUUAUUGACCAUUACAAUCAAAGUGGGAGGGGUUUGAUGCUUCACGAGUUUGCCUGUCUAGCUUUAUGCCGUGCUGUUGAUUUGGAUCAUUCUUUAUUGGGGUCUGUAUCUGCUUACUUCAAAUUUGCAUCACCUCCUUUCGAACGCAUUUGGAGGAAAAAAAUAGUUCCUGAGCAGUUUGAGGUAAUAAGUGAUUGCUUACUUGCUUCACAAGUAUCUUACCGCUUCCUACUUCUGGAACCGGAAUUUUUCUCUGUAAGAUGGGAUUGGUCCUGUUUUCUAGAGCUUGUAAAGGUAACUCUCAAUCUUGAUAUGAGCCAUGGUGCUCAAGAUGAGGAGAUCUCAGACAUAAGAUGGUGUGGAAUACAAAUACUGUCCAUCUCUUUGAAAAUGAGUGACAAAGCAAUUGAAAAUUUUGGUGUUGGAGCUGAAGAAGCAGCAUCAUGUUUAUUGCGCUGGGAAGAGUUCUGUCAAGAUGUAGCUAUGGAGAAGGCUGGCUUGUAUGUUGAAUCAUCUGAACACACAAUAUUGGGUUCUAUCAAUGGAGGAGUUGAUUUCAGCCAACAAAACUUUCCAAGUUCUUGUGACCAUUAUUCACUGGUUUCAUCACAGAUUCAUAAAAUUGAGCCAGUGAUUAAGAGUCGUAGAUUGGUUAACUGGAAUGAUAAAUCAGGAGGCAAUCCAUUUGUAAUGACAUCUACAGUGAAGAAAAGUUUUGAUAUGGUACUCUUAGCAGUGAGUCAAAGGUGGCCUGUUCUUCUGUAUGGCCCUG
This 958-nucleotide unclassified non-coding RNA is filed under the name Hevea brasiliensis (rubber tree). The record is from RNAcentral. Lineage: Eukaryota; Viridiplantae; Streptophyta; Magnoliopsida; Malpighiales; Euphorbiaceae.